GAUUAUAUCCCAUUCCUUUUUUACUUCAAUUUGCAUUAAAUUGACUCCUAUCAAUUUUCAAAGUAUCUUUUGUGAUCGAAAUCAGCCAUUGGAUAUUCACACUUUGGUCCCCAUACUUUGGAUUUCUUUCAUUUUUGCUCCAUUUUUGUUCUUUCUUCCAAUUCUUCAUUGAAACAUGAAUUUUUCCUAAUAAAAGCAAUAAAUAAUAAAUUAUGUACUAAUCC
Molecule: long non-coding RNA, 224 nt
Filed under: Olea europaea (common olive)
Lineage: Eukaryota; Viridiplantae; Streptophyta; Magnoliopsida; Lamiales; Oleaceae
Description: long non-coding RNA (OEUR_LNC008464)
Source: RNAcentral